GGUCAAGCUACAAAGAGCCUACGGUGGAUACCUAGGCACACAGAGGCGAUGAAGGACGUGGAUACCGACGAUACGCUUCGGGGAGCUGGAAACAAGCUUUGAUCCGGAGAUUUCCGAAUGGGGCAACCCAGUGACUCUAACGCCAAUCCAUAACGUUAGAGGGCGAACCUGGCGAACUGAAACAUCUUAGUAGCCAGAGGAAAAGAAAGAAAACUCGAUUCCCUUAGUAGCGGCGAGCGAAAGGGGAACAGCCUAAACCAACGGGCUUGCCUGUUGGGGUCGUGGGACAGCAACGUGGAAUUGAGCGGCUAGACGAAGUAGUGGAAUGCUACACCAGAGAAGGUGAAAGUCCUGUAGUCAAAAGCUUAACAAUCCUAGCUGUAUCCCGAGUAGUCCGGAGCACGUGGAAUUCCGGAUGAAUCUGCGAGGACCACCUCGUAAGGCUAAAUACUCCUGUGUGACCGAUAGCGCAUAGUACCGCGAGGGAAAGGUGAAAAGAACCCCGGAAGGGGAGUGAAAUAGAACAUGAAACCGUAGGCUUACAAGCAGUCGAAGCUCGAUUUAACGAGUGACGGCGUGCCUGUUGAAGAAUGAGCCGGCGACUUAUAGGUACUGGCAGGUUAAGGCAAGAAUGCCGAAGCCAUAGCGAAAGCGAGUCUGAAUAGGGCGUUUGUCAGUAUUUAUAGACCCGAACCCGGGUGAUCUAACCAUGGCCAGAAUGAAGCUUGGGUAACACCAAGUGAAGGUUCGCACCGACCGAUGUUGAAAAAUCGGCGGAUGAGCUGUGGUUAGGGGUGAAAUGCCAAUCGAACCCGGAGCUAGCUGGUUCUCCCCGAAAUAUGUUGAGGCAUAGCGGUUGUGAUUAUAGCAGGGGGGUAAAGCACUGAUUCGGUGCGGGCUGCGAGAGCGGUACCAAAUCGAGUCAAACUCUGAAUACCCUGUGUACACACAGCCAGUCAGACGGUGGGGGAUAAGCUUCAUCGUCGAGAGGGAAACAGCCCAGACCACCAGCUAAGGUCCCUAAAUCAUCACUAAGUGGCAAAGGAGGUGGGGAUGCUCAGACAACCAGGAGGUUUGCCUAGAAGCAGCCAUCCUUAAAAGAGUGCGUAAUAGCUCACUGGUCAAGCGUUCCUGCGCCGAAAAUGAACGGGACUAAGUGAUGUACCGAAGCUGUGGACUUACUACGUAAGUGGUAGGGGAGCGUUCUGCAUUAGUUUGAAGCACUAGCGUAAGCAGGUGUGGACGAGGCAGAAGUGAGAAUGUCGGCUUGAGUAGCGAAAACAUUGGUGAGAAUCCAAUGCCCCGAAACCCCAAGGGUUCCUUCGGAAGGCUCGUCCGCGAAGGGUUAGUCGGGACCUAAGGCGAGGCCGAAAGGCGUAGUCGAUGGACAACUGGUCAAUACUCCAGUACUCAUCUUGGUUCGUGCAGAGGGACGGAGAAGGCUAGAUCAGCCGGAUGUUGGUUACCGGUUCAACUGUCCGAGGUGUUGAGGAGCGGUGAAAACGCUCUGAGCUGAGGCAGGAGUACGACCCACUACGGUGGGGAAGUGAUUGAUGUCAUGCUUCCAAGAAAAGCUCUAAGCACGUUAAGCCAAGAUACCCGUACCCGAAACCGACACAGGUGGGGGGGUAGAGUAUACCAAGGGGCGCGAGAUAACUCUCUCUAAGGAACUCGGCAAAAUGGCCCCGUAACUUCGGGAGAAGGGGUGCCACCGAGAGGUGGUCGCAGUGAAGAGGCCCAGGCGACUGUUUACCAAAAACACAGGUCUCCGCUAAGUCGUAAGACGAUGUAUGGGGGCUGACGCCUGCCCAGUGCCGGAAGGUUAAGGAAGCUGGUCAGCGCAAGCGAAGCUGGCGACCGAAGCCCCGGUGAACGGCGGCCGUAACUAUAACGGUCCUAAGGUAGCGAAAUUCCUUGUCGGGUAAGUUCCGACCCGCACGAAAGGCGUAACGAUCUGGGCGCUGUCUCGGAGAGAGGCUCGGCGAAAUAGAAGUGUCUGUGAAGAUGCGGACUACCUGCACCCGGACAGAAAGACCCUAUGAAGCUUUACUGUAGCCUGGAAUUGGGUUCGGGCUUUGCUUGCGCAGGAUAGGUGGGAGACGUUGAAGUAUCCCUUGUGGGGGAUAUGGAGUCGCCGGUGAGAUACCACUCUGGCAAGGCUAGAAUUCUAACCUUCUGCUGUUAGCCAGCGAAGGAACAGUUUCAGGUGGGCAGUUUGACUGGGGCGGUCGCCUCCUAAAUGGUAACGGAGGCGCGCAAAGGUUCCCUCAGGCUGGUCGGAAAUCAGCCGUAGAGUGCAAAGGCAUAAGGGAGCUUGACUGCAAGACCUACAAGUCGAGCAGAGACGAAAGUCGGCCUUAGUGAUCCGACGGUUCCGCGUGGAAGGGCCGUCGCUCAACGGAUAAAAGUUACUCUAGGGAUAACAGGCUGAUCUCCCCCAAGAGUUCACAUCGACGGGGAGGUUUGGCACCUCGAUGUCGGCUCAUCGCAACCUGGGGCGGUAGUACGUCCCAAGGGUUGGGCUGUUCGCCCAUUAAAGCGGUACGUGAGCUGGGUUCAGAACGUAAAUCAUUGCGUCACUUCACAGUAAUGUGGAGCAGCAAACCGACUAAAAUCGGUAGAAUCUUAAUCAGUGACGAACGGCUGAUUAAGACAAUACCGAGGGUAAGCAAGAGUCUCGUGACAGAUGAUUUAACGCUGAGUUACAUUGCUGGUUUUUUGGAUGGUGAUGGUUGCAUUAAUCUACAACUGGUGCGACGUAAGGAUUACGUCCUUGGUUAUCAAAUUCGCGCUAGCAUCACUUUCUUUCAGUCUUCUUCGCAUCGUUCCUUCUUGGAGUGGUUAAAGUCUAUUUUCCAAGCAGGGUUUGUGAGAGACCGAAAAGAUGGCUUAAGCGAGUAUGCAAUUGUUGAUGCGCCAUCUGUCUUAGAAGUGCUGCUAACUCUUCGCAGCUACCUUAAACUCAAGAAGCCACAAUGUGAUUUAGCAAUUACUGUUCUACAGGAAGUUGUUCAAUCAAGGCGAUUAACGCCAGAACAAUUCCUAAAACUUGCUCAGCAGGUGGAUCAAUUUGGUGAACUGAAUGCUUCCAAAAAGCGUUCGAUUCGCUCUGAUCAAGUGGAGCAGUUUCUGAGAUCACGACAACUCUUGAUCCCGUAGAGACUGAAGCCUAGGCUUGAGUUAGCCAUCAAGCGUAAGCUGAGAUGUUCUGAAGUUGUCAGAGACAUCAAAUGUCGGCUCCUGAUUCGUUAGUGGCGAGAGUCAGGAUGAAGAUAUAGUCCAUGCUCGUAGUGAUACGAGAACAACAUGCGUGAGACAGUUCGGUCCAUAUCCGGUGCAGGCGUAGGAGCAUUGAGAGGAGUCCUCCUUAGUACGAGAGGACCGGGAGGAACGCACCUCUGGUGUACCUGUUAUCGUGCCAACGGUAAACGCAGGGUAGCCAUGUGCGGAGUGGAUAACCGCUGAAAGCAUCUAAGUGGGAAGCCCACCUCAAGAUGAGUGCUCCCAUGGCAUAAGCCAGUAAGGUCACGGGUAGAACACCCGUUAAUAGGCUCUCGAUGGAAGUCCAGUAAUGGAUGAAGUCUAGGAGUACUAAUAGACCGAGGGCUUGACCUC
This 3615-nucleotide ribosomal RNA is filed under the name Thermosynechococcus sp. HY596. RNAcentral describes it as "23S ribosomal RNA". It matches the Rfam family "Bacterial large subunit ribosomal RNA". RNAcentral also lists the same sequence under 2 other names. Lineage: Bacteria; Bacillati; Cyanobacteriota; Cyanophyceae; Acaryochloridales; Thermosynechococcaceae. The record is from RNAcentral.